Cyprinus carpio (common carp) is the source of this 1714-nucleotide long non-coding RNA. RefSeq lists it as uncharacterized. The record is from RefSeq and is a predicted model, not a curated record. NCBI's taxonomy places the organism in Eukaryota, Metazoa, Chordata, Actinopteri, Cypriniformes, Cyprinidae.
CGGACCCCAAUUUAACUCUCAAUUAAACCAUCUCUACACUUUUCAUGUUACAAAAUGGUCGAUGUGCAUGCUAGAGUCAGUGCAAUUCGUAGCAUAAAGACAAUUGAUUUUUAGGUUCAAAAUGUCUCAUAUUUGUGUCCUUCAGACCUUGUUUACACCCUGUUUACAAUUGUCUCAAAUGCGUACCGGUGACCAAGUUUAAUACUUUGUUUGUUGUUUUUUAACAGGAAGGUCUCUGAUUUCACAACUGAAUACAUCACUCACUAAAUCACUGUGUUGCUGCAAUAUGACAAGUCAUGCAAAAAAAAAAGAAAGAAAAGGAACCAAAGAAAAUAACUCAUUUCAUCUUCUUCCUCCAUCAGACCUCACUUCUUUAAUUGAACCAAACAUGACAAAUGUGAACACACCCUCAUUCUAGCAUUUAAUGCUGAGAAAGGGUCUAGCGUUGAAGCCUCAGAAGGACACACCCUCAUUAGACUACAGCCUUCCAUUUAAGAAGCACCUAUAGGGUUGACUACUUAUUCCUCACCUCCUCUUGGGUCAGUUAGAGAAUGGAAAUGUCUUCAAGAUGGCUUAAUCUGAUCUGUUUAACAAGUCACAGGCUGGAGGACAGAGAAGUGAUGAAACAAGGAAGCAUCAGUUUGAGUAGUGAGAAGCAACCAGUGCACUUGCUGCUGCGUUUCCUGUUUAAGGUUGUUUGAGUCCAUUUGAGUGUUUACAGACUCUUUUGGUUGUUGGCUUUUGAAGCUGAUAACAUGAGGUUGAAUGUACAAAACACAAACUAAGUAGUACGGCUCUGCCGAGAGGUUUUAAGUGUGAAAGACUUUAUGUCAAAGACCAUUGCGAAAUGAAACCACUUCCUGUGUAGCCUUAACACUUUUGAAAAUGCUAAUAAACAUUUCAAAGACAACAGCUCAUCUGUGAAGACGUACUGAUCAACACAGUGGAUAAUGGAUUUAGAGGCUAUUUAUGCAAAUGUUGACUGCAGAGGUAUUGAGAGCACAACUGGAUCGCAAAUUCAGGGUCAUGGUCAGGAUGAAGGAAAAGAUCUAAAGCAAAGAGGAAGUAGAUGUUUGGUGUUGGUCACAGUGGGUCUCGGGCUCAUUUGUGUUCUUCUGCUGGUCUUCAUCAUACUGCUGUACAUCAACAUCACAGCAGAGAGAGACCUGAUAAAGAGUUACAAGAACAGAGCUGAAGAGUUCAAUCAAACCAUCAACAGCUUACAGGACAAUUGCACUGAUCUAAUGACUGAAAAACACCAACUGCAGAACAACUUCAACUCUUUGAGUCGGAAGAAAGGGAAACUGGAGACCAGAGUCAAAGAUCUCAUUGAUAAGAAAAGCCAGUUACAGAGAGAUUUUAAAUCUUUGAAUAAGAAGGGCCCAGUUUGUUUUUUCAUGUCCACUGAGUUGAAAAUGGAAAAUGGGUGGAUAAUUCAACACUGAAACAAGGGUUUUGGCUUAAUGGUGAGCCGAAUAACCAAGGCAGAAAUAAGGACUGUAUUGAACUGAUGCCUUCAAAUCCUGUCCUGAACAACUGGAAUGAUCUGCAAUGCUCAAUGAAGAGAAAAGGGUUUUGUGAGAAAUAGGGUUCAUCCCACCCUUUUCUGGUUUUACUUCAAAAUAGUGGAUAUUCAUAGGAAACGAAAAUGUAAAAAUGUCAUUAUUUUUUAUUGCUAUAAUAAACUCAAGGUCAAUAAAACAUUCAGAGAAAA